This 497-nucleotide ribosomal RNA is filed under the name uncultured bacterium. RNAcentral describes it as "partial 16S ribosomal RNA". It matches the Rfam family "Bacterial small subunit ribosomal RNA", at positions 28 to 507 of the family's 1533-position model. The record is from RNAcentral.
GAUGAACGCUGGCGGCGUGCCUAAUACAUGCCAGUCGAGCGAACAGACGAGGAGCUUGCUCCUCUGACGUUAGCGGCGGACGGGUGAGUAACACGUGGAUAACCUACCUAUAAGACUGGGAUAACUUCGGGAAACCGGAGCUAAUACCGGAUAAUAUAUUGAACCGCAUGGUUCAAUAGUGAAAGACGGUUUUGCUGUCACUUAUAGAUGGAUCCGUGUCGCAUUAGCUAGUUGGUAAGGUAACGGCUUACCAAGGCAACGAUGCGUAGCCGACCUGAGAGGGUGAUCGGCCACACUGGAACUGAGACACGGUCCAGACUCCUACGGGAGGCAGCAGUAGGGAAUCUUCCGCAAUGGGCGAAAGCUUGACGGAGCAACGCCGCGUGAGUGAUGAAGGUCUUCGGAUCGUAAAACUCUGUUAUUAGGGAAGAACAAAUGUGUAAGUAACUAUGCACGUCUUGACGGUACCUAAUCAGAAAGCCACGGCUAACUACGUG